Molecule: ribosomal RNA, 404 nt
Filed under: uncultured bacterium
Lineage: Bacteria
Description: bacterial SSU rRNA
Rfam family: Bacterial small subunit ribosomal RNA
Source: RNAcentral
GAUGAACGCUAGCGGCAGGCCUAACACAUGCAAGUCGAGGGGCAGCAUAAAACAAGCUUGCUUGUUUGGUGGCGACCGGCGCACGGGUGCGUAACGCGUAUGCAACCUACCCUGUACUGAGGGAUAGCCCGGAGAAAUUCGGAUUAACACCUCAUAGGAUCUUAGAUCGGCAUCGAUUAGAGAUUAAAGGUUACGGUACAGGAUGGGCAUGCGUCCCAUUAGCUAGAUGGUAGGGUAACGGCUUACCAUGGCAACGAUGGGUAGGGGCCUGAGAGGGUGGUCCCCCCACACUGGUACUGAGACACGGACCAGACUCCUACGGGAGCAGCAGUGAGGAAUAUUGGUCAAUGGGCGCAAGCCUGACCAGCCAUGCCGCGUGCAGGAAGACGGUUCCUAUGGAUUGU